GGGAUUCAUCUCAUCUCAUCUUAGCUGUUCAAAAACAACAACAAAAAAGGCAGCUAGCAGAAGGUAGCCAUCUUGUCUUCCAUUUUAGUCGAUGAAGAGCAAUAGUCUUCUCCAAGUGCAGGGCAUUCUGUUCUGAUAGAGGAUCUGACUGAUGAUCAAGCUGUGAUUCAGACCUCCAAGCCAGAGAAAACACACAAUAGUGCUGUAGAAGGUCUUUCUCUGCUAAGGGGGAUUUUUGGAUCAGUGAAUGCACUUUUUUUUUUCUGUUUCUUUUCUUUUUCUUAUUAGUAAAGCAACAGUCAAAAAGCCUAUGUCUGUAUACUUGUGCCAAACACACAAAUGUUUGGCCAGUUUGAGACUGGAUAAGAUCCUGGGCUUGUGUCUUAGCUCCCAGCUUGGUGAUAAUAUCCUCCCUUAGCAAAGGAUUUUACAAGCAGAUGCACAUAUCAAAAUCAGUUCACCAACAUAACUGCAGUUUGAAUCCCCAUUUGCCAAAACCACAAUCCUGGGAAUGCAUUUUAAGGAUACAGCUUCUGUGAGAUUAUUUAUGCAAGGAAAUACUUUAUUUUUGCAUCAGGACCAAAAUAAGAUUUUUUUCAUAGGUCAGAAAUCCU
Cygnus olor (mute swan) is the source of this 614-nucleotide long non-coding RNA. RefSeq lists it as uncharacterized. The transcript has 3 exons. Lineage: Eukaryota; Metazoa; Chordata; Aves; Anseriformes; Anatidae. The record is from RefSeq and is a predicted model, not a curated record.